RNAcentral lists this long non-coding RNA (4297 nucleotides) under Medicago truncatula (barrel medic). RNAcentral describes it as "long non-coding RNA (MTRU_LNC007802)". The record is from RNAcentral. Lineage: Eukaryota; Viridiplantae; Streptophyta; Magnoliopsida; Fabales; Fabaceae.
GUUCAUACCCUGUUGGAUUAGAAAGUGUUAAACUUAAGAGUUCUGAUAAAGAUUUCCACUAUUCUGUUUGGAAUUUUGUGUAUCCUUCAGCACCCGGUGGGAUUGAUAAUCCUAUGAUUAAUCCUGUGGGUAUAGGGGCACCUAGUUUGGAUGGACUUGGUUGUGACAGGAUUAUUAUUUGUGUUGCUGGGAAAGAUGGAAUUAGGGAGAGAGGGGUUUGGUAUUAUGAGCUUGUGAAGAAGAGUGGUUGGAAAGGGAAAUUGGAAUUGUUUGAAGAAGAAGAUGAAGAUCAUGUUUAUCAUAUCUUUCAUCCUGAAUCUGAGAGUGGUCAAAAAUUGAUCAAGCAUUUGGCUUCCUUUCUUCAUGAGUAAGGAAAUGUUUUUCCUUUAUGUGUUUGUGUUGUACUGUUUUAGAUUGCAAUAGUAGCAAUCAUCAUGAGAUGUUUUUGUGUUACUAAUUACUAUUACUAAUAAUAAUUAUUUCUUGUGAUCAUGUACUUGUGAGUUAAUUAGUAAGUGUAUUGUGUAAUUAUAAAGUUCAUUAUGGGUUAAUCGUCGUAUUCCAUGUUAUAUUUUGCACACCACAAAUUCUUCAAAAAAGUUUGUAUAAAAUAUCUUCAUGCUAACCGAUGCUCGUGACACAAUUGCUUAAGAAAAGAAAAAAAAAUUGAAUUUGAAAAGAGCAAUAUCUUUUUUACACUUUAAUGGUUGUUACACAAGUUCCGAAAUUGUUUUGGUAUAUUUGGUAGGGGCAACCGAUAAGCUAUAAGCUAUAAGCUAUAACCUCAAAUGUGAAUAGCGUCUGAAAAAUAAAUUAUAAGUUCGUGGUGAAAAGAGCGUUACCAAACAAGAUUUUUUUGUCAAAUGAACUUAUGAACUAUCUACUAUAAACUAUAAGCUAGCUUUUUAACCUUGAGAAAGAGAGCCAUUGCAUCAAUUGAUAUGCAUAACUCACUUUUGGUAGAUCAACCUUUUUGCCUUAAGCUAAGGCCUUUUGGGACAAUGUUUUUCUCUCUCCAAUACAAGAAAGUUUCUUAUCUUGAAAUCUUCAACCUUUCUGCCUUAUAUAAUACAAGAAAGUUGGUUAUCAUUUUUGCUGUAAGAGCUAUAAUGUAAUUUUGAUUUUUCUCAGUAUUCAAUUUACAUUUGCAUGAUUACAAAAUUAUGGUAAAACACCAAAUUACAUUGGUUCUAGUGGAAUUGAUUUUAAAUCCCUUAAAUAAUUUACUCACUCCAUCCUAAAUUGUAAGGAAAAAAAUCAAAUAACAUUUGUUAAGAAAACUAAAAUAUAAGAAAUUGGAGUAUAAUUUUGUGUUUUUUUAGGAAUAAGUUUCAUAGGAAGAUGUAAAAUAAUUUUCAUUGGCUAUUGAUUAUGUAGAAAAUGAAAAAAAAUAGAAAACUGAAUGUAAUUUGCAUUUAAUUUCAUGAGAAUAAGCAAAAAAAAUUCUUGAAAAAAAAUGAUUAAAAAGAAAAGAUUAAAUAGAAUAAAAGUUUAUCUUUUGCUUAUAUUUUGCGACAAAAAAGUAAGUUUUUUUUUUUUUUAUUAUUUUUUUUUUAUAAAUAUUUUGGGACAGAGGAAAUAUUCAGUUUGAGGUUUGUGGAAGGAUGACAAAAACAUCCAUAAAUGUCUCCAAAUCUGGAUUAUCCGUUUGGCAGAUAUAAAAUGAACACAUGUAUCAUACUUAGCGCAAUCAUUGAUGCCUAUUUACAUUCAUAAAGAGGAGUAUUUGUUUGUUAGCUGUAAAUAUUGUGUUUCAUGUAGCACUUGAGUGAUAUAGAGUUAGGUGAUAUUGACCAAUCACAAUGUCAUAAUGUUUGUGUUUCUCUCUCUUUCACAAACAUUGUGACAUUGUGAUUGACCAAUGUCACCUAACUCUAUGUCACACAAUGAACUUUAUGAUGAAUAUAACGUUUUAAAAUCAUAACAUUAUUGAAUCCAAUGAAUUAAGAUCAUCUCCAUAUAUACUAAUAGAUAUAUUUCCAUUUAUUGCAGGAAAUGAAUAAUGUUUGUGUUUCUCUCUUUCACAAACAUUGUGACAGACCAAUAUCACCAAUGUCACCUAACUCUAUAUCAUACAAUGGACUUUGUGAUGAAUAUAAUAACCUUUUAAAAUCAUAACAUUAUUGAAUCCAAUGAAUUAAGAUCAUCUCCAUAUAUACUAAUGGAUAUAUUUUCAUUUAUUGCAGGAAAUGAAUAGAAUUUUAACUCAAAUCCAAUGUAAACAUACCACUCUAAGAGUACUAACACAUUAUCCUCUCCAUAUAUAAUAAUGGAAUUUUCUCUCUAGUAUCUCUGAAUCAAUGGCAACCACCGAUGUACCAAAACACAUUAUCUCUGAAAUUCCUACCUAUAUCACAGUCUACAGCGACGGCACAGUCGACCGUCCACGGCAACCACCGACGGUACCACCCAAUCCCAACCACCCAAACUCACCAUCCAAAGACAUCAUCAUCUCUCAAAACCCCAAUAUCUCCGCUCGUAUCUACCUCCCCAAAAACCCCACCACAAAACUCCCCAUCUUAGUCUUCUUCCAUGGCGGUGGUUUCUUCUUCGAGUCCGCUUUCUCCAAAGUGCACCACGAACACUUCAACAUCUUCAUUCCACUAGCAAAUUCAAUAGUUGUUUCUGUUGAAUACAGACUCGCUCCAGAACACCCUCUACCUGCUUGUUAUAAUGACUGUUGGAAUUCACUCCAAUGGGUUGCUUCUAAUUCUGCGAAAAACCCAGUUAACCCGGAACCGUGGUUAAUUAACCAUGGUGAUUUCAACAGAGUUUUCAUUGGUGGUGCUAGUGCUGGUGGUAACAUAGUUCAUAACAUCGCUAUGCGUGCUGGCUCUGAAGCUUUACCCAAUGAUGUUAAAUUAUUAGGAGCUAUUUUACAACACCCUUUAUUCUAUAGUUCAUACCCUGUUGGAUUGGAAAAUGUUAAACUUAAAGAUUUCUACUCUUACCUUUGGAAUUUUGUGUAUCCAUCAGCACCUGGUGGAAUUGAUAAUCCUAUGGUUAAUCCUGUGGGCAUAGGGGCACCUAGUUUGGAUGGACUUGGUUGUGAUAGGAUGAUUGUUUGUGUUGCUGGGAAAGAUAAACUUAGGGAGAGAGGGGUUUGGUAUUAUGAGCUUAUAAAGAAGAGUGGUUGGAAAGGGAAAUUGGAGUUGUUCGAAGAAGAAGAUGAAGAUCAUGUUUAUCAUAUAUUUCAUCCUGAAUCUGAGAGUGGUCAGAAAUUGAUCAAGCAUUUGGCUUCCUUUCUUCAUGAGUAAGGAAAUGUUUUUCCUUUAUGUGUUUGUGUUGUACUGUUUUAGAUUGCAAUAGUAGCAAUCAUCAUGAGAUGUUGUGUUUGUGUUACUAAUUACUAUUACUAAUAAUAAUGAUUUCUUGUGAUCAUGUACUUGUGAGUUAAUUAGUAAGUGUAUUGUGUAAUUAUAAAGUUUAUUACCUACUCGUUUUCUUUUCACAGAUGAUUAUUAUGGGUUAAUCAUAUUCCAUGUUAUAUUUUGCAGACCACAAAUUCUUUUGAACUGUGUCUAUAAAAUAGGGUCAUGCUAACCGGUGCUCCUUACACAAUUGUUUAGGAAACAAAAAAAAUAAAUUUUGAAUUUGAAAAGAGCAUUUUUUUACACUUUACGUGGUUGUUACACAAGUUCCAAUAUAGUUUUAGACUUUUAGUAUAUUUGGUUCCUUAACAAGUACCCUAAGGGCACUUGUUAGUCCAUAAAAUAGACAUAGUAUUGUAUCGAUUGAUAUGCACAACUCACUUUUGGUACAUCAACCUUUUUGUUUUAAGCAUAAGGCCUUUUGGGACAAUGUUUUUCUCUCUCCAAUACAAGAAAGUUUCUUAUCUUGAAAUCUUCAAUCUUUCUGCCUUACAUAAUACAAGAAAGAUGGUUGUCAUUUUUGCUGUAAGCGCUAUAAGCAGAAUCACAUUCAAUAGUAGUUAGAAAGUGGAUAUGAUUGAAACAAUCCCUACAAUCAUGAUGGAUCUUAAUUGUUGCAGUAGACCUAUAAGAAAAUGGGCAAUGUUAUCAGUAUAUAUAACAUUGAGCUUUUUGAUUUCAUUGAUUAUUACUGUGUCAAUCUUCAGGGAUGAACAAUGAUAAGUAUCACCAGAACACAACCAUGUAAGAGUGAUCUGUCAUGAUUGGGUUCUGUCCUCAGUUGUUCAAAUAAUGUGCAGGAGCUUUGGUCAUUUUGUUUUGGUUUUGAAUUGUUUUAUGAAAUUAUUACAAAGUAGAGGUUUAUGUCUUUUUGCAAUAAGUACAAGGCAUGUGGGACAAUAUCUUUUAUUCUCAAUUAUGCAGGU